UCGAACGGCAGCACGGAGCUUGCUCUGGUGGCGAGUGGCGAACGGGUGAGUAAUAUAUCGGAACGUACCCUAGAGUGGGGGAUAACGUAGCGAAAGUUACGCUAAUACCGCAUACGAUCUAAGGAUGAAAGUGGGGGAUCGCAAGACCUCAUGCUCGUGGAGCGGCCGAUAUCUGAUUAGCUAGUUGGUAGGGUAAAAGCCUACCAAGGCAUCGAUCAGUAGCUGGUCUGAGAGGACGACCAGCCACACUGGAACUGAGACACGGUCCAGACUCCUACGGGAGGCAGCAGUGGGGAAUUUUGGACAAUGGGCGAAAGCCUGAUCCAGCAAUGCCGCGUGAGUGAAGAAGGCCUUCGGGUUGUAAAGCUCUUUUGUCAGGGAAGAAACGGUGAGAGCUAAUAUCUUUUGCUAAUGACGGUACCUGAAGAAUAAGCACCGGCUAACUACGUGCCAGCAGCCGCG
Molecule: ribosomal RNA, 462 nt
Filed under: uncultured soil bacterium
Lineage: Bacteria
Description: bacterial SSU rRNA
Rfam family: Bacterial small subunit ribosomal RNA
Source: RNAcentral